UGGGGAAUAUUGCACAAUGGGCGGAAGCCUGAUGCAGCAACGCCGCGUGCGGGAUGACGGCCUUCGGGUUGUAAACCGCUUUCGCCUGUGACGAAGCGUGAGUGACGGUAAUGGGUAAAGAAGCACCGGCUAACUACGUGCCAGCAGCCGCGGUGAUACGUAGGGUGCGAGCGUCGUCCGGAUUUAUUGGGCGUAAAGGGCUCGUAGGUGGUUGAUCGCGUCGGAAGUGUAAUCUUGGGGCUUAACCCUGAGCGUGCUUUCGAUACGGGUUGACUUGAGGAAGGUAGGGGAGAAUGGAAUUCCUGGGGGAGCGGUGGAAUGCGCAGAUAUCAGGAGGAACACCAGUGGCGAAGGCGGUUCUCUGGGCCUUUCCUGACGCUGAGGAGCGAAAGCGUGGGGAGCGAACA
Molecule: ribosomal RNA, 407 nt
Filed under: uncultured bacterium
Lineage: Bacteria
Description: partial 16S ribosomal RNA
Rfam family: Bacterial small subunit ribosomal RNA
Source: RNAcentral